UGGGGAAUCUUCCGCAAUGGGCGAAAGCCUGACGGAGCAACGCCGCGUGAGUGAAGACGGUUUUCGGAUUGUAAAACUCUGUCUUGCGGGAAGAACGGUUUCUAUGUGAAGAAUGUAGAAACGUGACGGUACCGGAAGAGGAAGCCACGGCUAACUACGUGCCAGCAGCCGCGGUAAUACGUAGGUGGCAAGCGUUGUCCGGAAUUAUUGGGCGUAAAGGGCGCGCAGGCGGGAAGAGAAGUCUGUCUUAAAAGUGCGGCGCGUAACGCCGUGAGGGGACGGAAACACUCUUCCUUGAGUGCAGGAGAGGACAGUGGAAUUCCCAGUGUAGCGGUGAAAUGCGUAGAGAUUGGGAGGAACACCAGUGGCGAAGGCGGCUGUCUGGACUGUAACUGACGCUGAGGCGCGAAAGCCAGGGAAGUGAACGGG
This 429-nucleotide ribosomal RNA is filed under the name uncultured prokaryote. Its description in RNAcentral is "bacterial SSU rRNA". It matches the Rfam family "Bacterial small subunit ribosomal RNA", at positions 355 to 776 of the family's 1533-position model. RNAcentral also lists the same sequence under 1 other name. The record is from RNAcentral.